GAUGAACGCUGGCGGCGUGCUUAACACAUGCAAGUCGAACGAUGAAGCCCAGCUUGCUGGGUGGAUUAGUGGCGAACGGGUGAGUAACACGUGAGUAACCUGCCCUUAACUCUGGGAUAAGCCUGGGAAACUGGGUCUAAUACCGGAUAGGAGCGUCCACCGCAUGGUGGGUGUUGGAAAGAUUUAUCGGUUUUGGAUGGACUCGCGGCCUAUCAGCUUGGUGGUGAGGUAAUGGCACACCAAGGCGACGAAGGGUAGCCGGCCUGAGAGGGUGACCGGCCACACUGGGACUGAGACACGGCCCAGACUCCUACGGGAGGCAGCAGUGGGGAAUAUUGCACAAUGGGCGAAAGCCUGAUGCAGCGACGCCGCGUGAGGGAUGACGGCCUUCGGGUUGUAAACCUCUUUCAGUAGGGAAGAAGCGAAAGUGACGGUACCUGCAGAAGAAGCACCGGCUAACUACGUGCCAGCAGCCGCAGUAA
RNAcentral lists this ribosomal RNA (482 nucleotides) under uncultured bacterium. RNAcentral describes it as "partial 16S ribosomal RNA". It matches the Rfam family "Bacterial small subunit ribosomal RNA", at positions 28 to 523 of the family's 1533-position model. The record is from RNAcentral.